CGCAAGAGGGCAAACCCAGUGCUUGCACUGGGGGUUGUAGGACUGCAAUGUGCAAGAGCUGAGUUUAGCAGAACAUUCUGGAAAGUAUAGCCAUAGAGGGUGAUAGUCCCGUAUGCGAAAAACAAAGCUUAGCUAGCAGUAUCCUGAGUAGGGCGGGACACGAGGAAUCCUGUCUGAAUCCGGGUCGACCACGAUCCAACCCUAAAUACUAAUACCAGAUCGAUAGUGCACAAGUACCGUGAGGGAAAGGUGAAAAGAACUGAGGUGAUCAGAGUGAAAUAGAACCUGAAACCAUUUGCUUACAAUCAUUCAGAGCACUAUGUAGCAAUACAGUGUGAUGGACUGCCUUUUGCAUAAUGAGCCUGCGAGUUGUGGUGUCUGGCAAGGUUAAGCAAACGCGAAGCCGUAGCGAAAGCGAGUCUGAAUAGGGCGCUUAGUCAGAUGCUGCAGACCCGAAACGAAGUGAUCUAUCCAUGAGCAAGUUGAAGCUAGUGUAAGAACUAGUGGAGGACUGAACCCAUAGGCGUUGAAAAGCCCCGGGAUGACUUGUGGAUAGGGGUGAAAGGCCAAUCAAACUUCGUGAUAGCUGGUUCUCUCCGAAAUAUAUUUAGGUAUAGCGUUGUGUCGUAAUAUAAGGGGGUAGAGCACUGAAUGGGCUAGGGCAUACACCAAUGUACCAAACCCUAUCAAACUCCGAAUACCUUAUAUGUAAUCACAGCAGUCAGGCGGCGAGUGAUAAAAUCCGUCGUCAAGAGGGAAACAACCCAGACUACCAGCUAAGGUCCCUAAAUCUUACUUAAGUGGAAAACGAUGUGAAGUUACUUAAACAACCAGGAGGUUGGCUUAGAAGCAGCCAUCCUUUAAAGAAAGCG
Molecule: ribosomal RNA, 872 nt
Filed under: Campylobacter jejuni
Lineage: Bacteria; Pseudomonadati; Campylobacterota; Epsilonproteobacteria; Campylobacterales; Campylobacteraceae
Description: partial 23S ribosomal RNA
Rfam family: Bacterial large subunit ribosomal RNA
Source: RNAcentral